RNAcentral lists this ribosomal RNA (850 nucleotides) under uncultured bacterium. RNAcentral describes it as "bacterial SSU rRNA". It matches the Rfam family "Bacterial small subunit ribosomal RNA", at positions 51 to 900 of the family's 1533-position model. The record is from RNAcentral.
UUAUCUGCAGUCGUGGGGCAGCGCGGGUAGCAAUACCUGGCGGCGACCGGCAAACGGGUGCGGAACACGUACGCAACCUUCCUUUAAGCGAUGAAUAGCCCAGGGAAACUUGGAUUAAUACAUCAUAAGACAGUGGAAUGGCAUCACUCAGCUGUUAAAGCUCCGGCACUUAAAGAUGGGCGUGCGGCUGAUUAGGUAGUUGGCGGGGUAACGGCCCACCAAGCCGACGAUCAGUAACUGGUGUGAGAGCACGACCAGUCACACGGGCACUGAGACACGGGCCCGACUCCUACGGGAGGCAGCAGUAAGGAAUAUUGGUCAAUGGACGCAAGUCUGAACCAGCCAUGCCGCGUGGAGGAUGAAGGCCCUCUGGGUUGUAAACUUCUUUUAUCUGGGAAGAAACCGGACUUUUCUAAGGCCGUUGACGGUACCAGAUGAAUAAGCACCGGCUAACUCCGUGCCAGCAGCCGCGGUAAUACGGAGGGUGCAAGCGUUAUCCGGAUUCACUGGGUUUAAAGGGUGCGUAGGUGGGCAGGUAAGUCAGUGGUGAAAUCUCUGGGCUUAACCCGGAAACUGCCGUUGAUACUAUCUGUCUUGAAUGUAGUGGAGGUGAGCGGAAUAUGUCAUGUAGCGGUGAAAUGCUUAGAUAUGACAUAGAACACCCAUUGCGAAGGCAGCUCGCUACACUAUUAUUGACACUGAGGCACGAAAGCGUGGGGAUCAAACAGGAUUAGAUACCCUGGUAGUCCACGCCCUAAACGAUGGAUACUCGGCAUCAGCGAUACACAGUUGGUGUCUGAGCGAAAGCAUUAAGUAUCCCACCUGGGAAGUACGACCGCAAGGUUGAAAC